UUUUUAUUGAAAGUCACGAGUAUAUACCGAUAUAUAUGAUCCCUUACAUUUCACCACGUGAAUAUACCACGGUUAAGAAAAGUAGAAAACCCCUAGCUCAGAUUUAGGCACAGUUUGCAUAAACUGAAAUGGAAAAAUCUCCACCCUUACACUUGGGGGAACUAUUCGUCAAAGAAUGGAACUAACGAAAGCAAUACCCAAGUAACUAAACGAAACAAAAUCAAAGAACGUAUAAUACGAAGCACGGACACUGUGUAAACGUAGCUCAUGUGUAAGCACCUCCUCAACCCAUAGAUGGGGGUGGUGGGCAUUUAACGUUGGGGCUGUUCGUCGAGCACGACGGCCCUGGUAGUCCUCCCUGAAGGUUCUGCAGAUACAGUCGCUGAAGAAGCUGGAGGCCGGAGUCGUCGGGGACUACCACGGCAGUGGUCUCUCCGGCCAGCACAUUGCCGCCCAACGGCCGCGCCGAGCUCGACCCGAUGAGGAGCGCUAUGAUCGCCAUCAUCACGAUCACCGAGGCAACGAACUUCGAUCUCAUCAUCAUCAUAUUCUAAAUUCAGGUCAGUUCACACAAACAAACUUCGCAAAUAGCGCUAUGCGUCGCUACUCGCUAGCUUAGCUAGAUUGUGCUGCAAAGGUUAGCAC
Molecule: ribosomal RNA, 645 nt
Filed under: Triticum aestivum (bread wheat)
Lineage: Eukaryota; Viridiplantae; Streptophyta; Magnoliopsida; Poales; Poaceae
Description: partial small subunit ribosomal RNA
Source: RNAcentral